GCUUCCUGACCUCUCAUGUCUACGCCGCGCAGACCUUUGGGUUUGAAGACUGUUUGUUUCUCGAAGACCUUUCAUUAAAAAAGGUCUGCACGUCCUCUUAUUGGGGCAGAUGUGGACUCAUGUCUUGAAACAUCUUCUCAUUCUUUCUUUUUGCCCAACACAAUCACCCCCAAAAAAAACCCUAGCUCCUUCUCUGUCUCCUCCCUUCUCCCCUCCAUACAGCCACCGCUCCCCUCCUCCUUCGUCCACGCGCCGCCGAAAUCCUUCCGUCGCUGCCUUCCUCCUCCCCUGUCACGCCGCUGCCGCUUAUUCGGUUUUGUUUAGAAUUUCGUGACUUGAUUCGGCGAAUCGGAGUCAUCGGGUUGCUAAAUUGGUCGUGUUCGCGGGUUGGCGGGUUCAAAAGUUUUGUCAUACGAUCAACCCAAUGUGUCGUUGCAUAAUAGGCAAGUGCACGUUGAUGCUGAUGAAGACGAGGUUGAAGCACAAGGUACGACGUCAGGUCGGGAAUAUAUGACUCAGUUACGAGAUGAGAUCGCUGAGCAGUUAAUGCAAAGUAUGGAAUAAAUGAUUUAAAAAAAUGUUAUUGUCUUUUCAUGAAUAUUAUUUCAGUAUUGUAUAACUAUUAUUUAUGUUUGAAUGUUGAAAAACUCUUUUAAGUUAAAUAAAAUCAGUUUAUUUA
Molecule: long non-coding RNA, 679 nt
Organism: Helianthus annuus (common sunflower)
Lineage: Eukaryota; Viridiplantae; Streptophyta; Magnoliopsida; Asterales; Asteraceae
Exons: 2
Source: RefSeq, a predicted model, not a curated record